UAGGGAAUCUUCCGCAAUGGACGAAAGUCUGACGGAGCAACGCCGCGUGAGUGAAGAAGGAUUUCGGUUCGUAAAACUCUGUUGUUAGGGAAGAAAAAAUGUAUAGUAACUAUAUACAAAAGAGACGGUACCUAACCAGAAAGCCACGGCUAACUACGUGCCAGCAGCCGCGGUAAUACGUGGUGGCAAGCGUUGUCCGGAAUUAUUGGGCGUAAAGCGCGCGCAGGUGGUUUAGAAAGUCUGAUGUGAAAGCCCACGGCUCAACCGUGGAGGGUCAUUGGAAACUAAUAAACUUGAGUGCAGGAGAGAAAAGUGGAAUUCCUAGUGUAGCGGUGAAAUGCGUAGAGAUUAGGAGGAACACCGGUGGCGAAAGCGGCUUUUUGGCCUGCAACUGACACUGAGGCGCGAAAGCGUGGGGAGCAAACAGG
Molecule: ribosomal RNA, 428 nt
Filed under: Verrucomicrobiota bacterium
Lineage: Bacteria; Pseudomonadati; Verrucomicrobiota
Description: Verrucomicrobia bacterium partial 16S ribosomal RNA
Rfam family: Bacterial small subunit ribosomal RNA
Source: RNAcentral